This is a small nucleolar RNA of Benincasa hispida (wax gourd), 108 nucleotides long. Lineage: Eukaryota; Viridiplantae; Streptophyta; Magnoliopsida; Cucurbitales; Cucurbitaceae. The record is from RefSeq and is a predicted model, not a curated record.
AUAUCCAUGUUGUGGACAUCUCCUUAAUAAGUCCUUGUAUCUCUCCCAACAUUCAUAUAGAUGUUCAUCGGGCUGUUGAAGAAAAGCUAGAAACUCAUAUCUCAAUUU